This 325-nucleotide ribosomal RNA is filed under the name uncultured eukaryote. RNAcentral's name for it is "partial 18S ribosomal RNA". It matches the Rfam family "Eukaryotic small subunit ribosomal RNA", at positions 1470 to 1796 of the family's 1831-position model. The record is from RNAcentral.
CCCUUAGAUGUCCUGGGCCGCACGCGCGUUACACUGAUGCAUUCAACGAGCUUAUAACCUUGGCCGAGAGGCCUGGGCAAUCUUGUUAACGUGCAUCGUGAUAGGGAUAGAUUAUUGAAAUUAUUAAUCUUGAACGAGGAAUUCCUAGUAAGUACAGGUCAUCAACUUGUGUUGAUUACGUCCCUGCCCUUUGUACACACCGCCCGUCGCUCCUACUGAUUGAAUGUCUCGGUGAAUUAUUUGAUCUUCUGUCGAUUCAGUUCACUGAUCCGACGGUGGAAAGUUGAAUGAACUUCGUCACUUAGAGGAAGGAGAAGUCGUAACA